Molecule: long non-coding RNA, 1471 nt
Filed under: Homo sapiens (human)
Lineage: Eukaryota; Metazoa; Chordata; Mammalia; Primates; Hominidae
Description: HSALNT0379398
Source: RNAcentral
UGAGCCUGUCUCAGAACAAACAAACAAACAAACAAAAAUAAGAAAAAAAUACAUAGUUUUAAAACAGUUUUAAACACAUUUGGGAAAAUAUAGGCAGUAGAAAUAGCAGUUGUGCUGUUAAUGCCUCAGACAGGGCUGGGCUCGUAGUAGGUGCUCAAUAAAUAUGUAUUAAGUAAGUGAAUAAGGAAGAAAAUCCCAUGGCUCUGCCAACAAGAAACACUUCUGUCAACAUUUCACUGUGUUUGUUUUCCUGAGUAUUUUUUCCUCUACAUAAUUUAGCUUUGUUUUCCAUUCAUUAUGCUCACCCGUGCAGACACAGUUUUUAAUCUUGUUUCUUUUUUUUCACUUCACGUUGUUGACAUGUGUGUUUCUCUCUUCUAAGCAGCGUUUCAGCAUCUCUAUAAAACCCUCACAGGUGAUCCCUAGAAACACAGCCAGUGGCCCGGAAGCUGCACUGUUUUGUGCACCGCAGGGAUGGGCACAGAUGGGGCUGCCUGCCCUCCUCCUGGAAGGAGGGAGAACCCAGUCUGGCCUGGAGUGGUCAAGAGCUAACUCUAGACUCAGCAAGACCUACUUCUCUCUCCUGCCCCUACUUCCUUGCUGCUGACCUGGGCAAGUCGCUGAAGCCUCUCCGUGCCUCAGUCUGCUCGUGCGUAAGAUGGGCACAGGGCACACUGCCUACUUGAUUGGGCUCAACCACGUGCAGUAAGUAGCUGGUGUCUGGCAAGAGCCCUCAGGAAACAGUAACCCCAUUAAUUCAAAUGCACGUGCCUGGAACAGGCUCUGGGGGGCCAGCCCGGGAGUCCCACUCCAUGAUGGCCACCCUGGGGCCUGGCAGGCUGGGCUGGCAUCCCAGGCCCACCGGAUACUGGCUGUGCACCCCGGCCAGGCCACACAUCUCUGAGCCUCACUUUCCCGUGUGUGAGAUGAGGCUAGAAGCUGCUUUCUCUUGCGUGUGUGGGGAUUGGCGGUGACAACACGGCCAGGAGCCCAGGCCCAGCCUACGCGAGCAGCCUCGCUCCAGGCCACACGCCCCACUCCUGACAGCUCUGUGCAGCGAGUUCGUGCGCGAGCGGGUGGCUGUCUGCCAGGCGAGGGGCGCGGGUGCCCAAGAGGGCUUCACUGCUUCUGGAAAGAUCACAAGGAAAAACCACCUCCGCGGCGGGACGCUACCCGCGGGCCGCUGCGGUCCCGCUCGCGGCCGGCAGGGGGCAGGAUGUCCCCGCGAGUCGCCCGUGUCUUCGGGUGUCCUCAGGUCACCCCGCACCGCUCGCAGCCUCCGCGCCUAGUUAAAGGGCGACGCACUCAUUUCUGCAAAGAAGGAGCCCAGCGGCCCCUCCCCGGGGAACUCUUUCCAUCAACUCGGGGCCUAAUAAUUUACAUUUAAUUUGUUAGCGGUUUAAUGUUUAAUUUUAAAAGCGAGAUGAUUCAUUACCAUAUUAAUAAAUAAUAACAUUUAUUAUUCUCCUAA